Callorhinus ursinus (northern fur seal) is the source of this 3732-nucleotide non-coding RNA. The record is from RefSeq and is a predicted model, not a curated record. Lineage: Eukaryota; Metazoa; Chordata; Mammalia; Carnivora; Otariidae.
AGUCCUCGGUGGCUUAGAGACAUGGUACAGCUGUUGUGAAGGUGUCGUUGGAUCUGCCGGCUGUCAGGUUGCCAAGCUUCACGUUCAUGACUGGAAAGAAAACAUAGAGGGCUUCAUGAAGACUUUCGUCAAGUGCCCACCCGCCGAUGGUAAUCCCGGUGUAUUUGCUGUGAAUUGUGAGGUGUGCUAUACAGCCAAAGGUUUGGAACUUAAGUGACUGUGGUUGAUCCCAGCCUCCAGGUGGUCUAUGAUACAUUUGUGAAACCAGAUGAAGAAGUCAUUGACUAUAACACCAGCUAAUUCAUACUUCAGUUGUGGACACGACAGUUCUGUUUCCUCAUUGGCUAGGCUUGCCUCACAAAAGAUCCCUCAAGAGUCUAGUGGCUGACCACCUGCAGAGGAUCAUUCAGGACAAUGGUAAGAGCCUGUUUGCUCCUGAUUAAUAUCAGGAUCCUAAGUCUGACUUGAGUAAACCAUGGGAUUCAUGGUAGAAGGUCUGCUCCAUGAAGGGCUUAAGGUAGGUUUUUCUGUAUGGAUUCUCUCCUAGGGUGGAGAACCCUAAAGCAUCUCGUUAUGUAAAAAGCACUGAAAUGCCCUCUGCCUGGUGUCAUCCUGGAUCUUCCACGGGCAUCAGAAUAACCAUUAUAGAGAAUGGUGGCCAGAUGUUUGUUCGGCAAAUUGCCUGGCCUUUGAGUUCAUGUAUAAAACUUCUGUGGGUGUGGAGAACUAAUUCCAGUCUAAAUUUAGCUGGGUACCCCUUUUCAUAUGAGCUUUGCAUCAAAUGAGAUUCCAGAAUUCACUGGGUUUGGGUCAUCUCACCCAGAGUAAAUUGUGUGUGUUGUGUUAGAAAAAGAAUAGUUCAAAUUCCAUAGAUUCAUCAUAUGUGCACUUGAUUUAUACUGGUUGUGUGUAUCUUGCUCUCAGAACAUCUGUUUUUUCUGAUGAAACACACCCAAAUUAAACAAGUUAAUCAGGUACAGCAAGAAUGGCUACCAGCCACCCCAUUAGUGGCAUUGCCCUAUGCACAGUUGAGCAGUGUCCGCCUUGGAAUGGAGGUGAGUUACUCUCUACAUUCAUGUGUGCCCGUGUGGGCUCCUCUUUUGCACAACAUAGAAGUCUAAGAAAAUCAAUUCUGUGUAUGUUAAAAUUUAUGUUACAGUGCUGUGUUUCUAAGGAUACCUAAGAUAUGGGAAGGCCCUCUGAUCAAAAUACCAACUGUACCGUAUGGUCUUUAUUCUUUCACUCUUUGUCUGUUAGACACUGCUGCUGUCUCGGUGGGUCUUCAUCUGUUUUGCUAAAAAUACAUCUCAAAAAAAUUCCUACAAAAUUCUAUUAUAAAAUGUAAUGUGUUCUGUUGAAAACCAUCUUGAACCUUAGGAAAAUAUUUCACUUCACAAAAAACAGCUUAUACAAACAUCUAAUACCCCAUUUUUUCCAGAAUAACACAAAUGAAAAAUACCAUACCAUUUUAGACAUGCUGAUCCUGUGAUUUUUCUCAUUUAAUCUCAGACAUCAUUUAUUAUUCUCACCAGAACUGUAGGCUUUAUAUUUUGGGUAAAUUUCAUGCACUUGUAUCUAAGGCCAUUCUUGGUGUAGAGACCUGUACUUUUUCUAGCACUCUCUAUUUUUGGCUUUUUGCCAGAUCUUUUACUAAUACCUGCUGCUUUGUUGUUCUGUGCAAAAGAGGUAUAUGGAGAAGGUGACAAUGUGAGGACAGGCUACAUAGGAAAAGGGAGAUGUUUGCUAAUCUAGACUUAUGUAUAAUCUCUACAAAGCAAUCAGAAUCAUAUUUUGGUAAGUGCCCAGUGUUAAUUUUUUAGACACAUGAACUCAAGGCUUCGUUUUGUGAACCGCCGUGGGUAGUAUCACGGAUGAAGUCAUUGUAGGUCUAACACGUUGUUUUAUAUUCUGUACCGUUUGGAGGUCACAGUUCAAGUGAAAGUGCUGCCGCCUGCAUGGAACUGGUUCUCUGGAAGGUAAAAGAAGACCUGAAAGGGAAGAAGUGAUCACUUUGAGCAGAUCUAAAAUCCCUGCAGUGUUGUUUCAGUGACGUCUCUCCUGCUGAUAGUAGAGUUGGGUCUAUGAUGGUAGGAAGUUUCUUGACCUUUUUCUUCAAAGAGGAGAAAGAAAAGUGCUGCUGAGGUUUAUUUAUUACAUGUUCAAGGUUAAGUUUCCACAGUUUAUUUCAGAAGUUGUGAGUGGGGUAGGGGGUGGUUAGUUGGGAGGAUUAAGUUGGUUUGAAUUUUCGACUCUUCCUCAUGGAUCGCUUGUGACAAUGGAUCGCGGUUUACAGUUGAAGCAGUGGGCCCGUGUCCUCCAUCAGGAUCAUGUCUCCAGUUACGUACAUUUCUUUUUCUCUCCAACUGCCGAAAACCAUCUUGACCUAACAGAAUUUUUUUUAGGUCUCCUAUAUAAAUAGAUUUUCCUCACAAAGUAAAUGUAAACUUUUUAGUGCACUCUGUUAACAUAAAGAUUUUGGUCAUUUGGCUAUUGUGUAAUGUGUUUUUAUUCUAACUGGUGUACUGUGACUGGAUUUUAAUUCAUAACAACUCAUUUUUUUUAAGGCAGUAGCCUCUGGAUCUUCUAAACACCCUAACCUGCAUUCCCAAUACCUGAAUUGUCUCAUUCUUUUGAGGAGUUAGCGCCAUCUUUCUUGCUUUCUCAAAAUGUGGAAACUACAUGACUUUUUCUGUUUGAUUACCCUUAAGUAUGACUCUUCAGUAUUGUUGCUGACAUGCUACAAAAUUACAAAGGUUUUACUGCCAGUAGAACAGGUGAGUCAGUGUAAUCAAUAGGAGGGCCUCUGGGCCGGAAGUACACCAGUCACCUUCUGACAGUUGCUUGUGCGGAUAUGCCCUCAAACGUACAUCAGUUUGUCUGCCUUCAUAUUGUCACUUACAAGUAACUUAAUGAUCCCUGAACAUCUUUUUCUUGCUGUCGCACGUACUUCUCAGCCAGGUCUCUUGUCAUGUACUUGAGGUGAAGUAAAAUAAUUCAAAUUUAGAUCAUUAUGAAUUUAAGUAAUAUAUAAUUAAGAAGGUCAGACUGUUAUAGGGAAAAAAACCCGACGUCUGUUCCAAAGGCAUAUGCAAAAUUUGAAGGUAUUCUUGGCAUUUUCAGGUCAUCUUUGUUCAGUUCCAUGUACUUUGAAACUAAGCACGGUCAGGAGUAUGUCUACAGCAUGUGGGUAAAAAGCCAAGGGAGCUAUUACAGGUAUCUGGGCCUGUGUUCAAGGGCUCUUCAUUGGGUUUCCAGCUGUUGAUUCAGGGUAUGCUAGCAGUCUUGCUUGUGCUGUGUCUACCUGAAUAUGCUGCUGUGAACAAAGGGCCUGCUAUCACUUCUGAAUACGUGAGGUGGAUUAAGGGGCAGGAAUAGGGAACUUUAUGCUGUAUGUUGACUGAUUUCACACUGUCCCAUUUAAGAGAGAUUCCAGUUCUAAGCCCUCAGUUGACACUGGAACACUACUGGAGGCACAGAAAGUAGACUAGACAGAACACUUCUCGAUGUUUCCAGUCCUGCGAGCUGGAACGAGCAUGUCUGGUAGAGUACCACACCCACUGCGCUAUGGGCAUCUUACCGACGGAGCUGGAGGACGGUAAGUUGAAAGACAUCUGGCAAGACCUAGGAGAAACAUUCCCAGACGAAAAACAGGGUGCAUGACGAAUCGUGACUCAAGAGCCUGCUCCGAACGCCAUGCUCACCUUGCGUUCUUCUAACAUCCUGUUUAAGGAC